Molecule: ribosomal RNA, 497 nt
Filed under: uncultured bacterium
Lineage: Bacteria
Description: partial 16S ribosomal RNA
Rfam family: Bacterial small subunit ribosomal RNA
Source: RNAcentral
GAUGAACGCUGGCGGCGUGCCUAAUACAUGCAAGUCGAGCGAACGGACGAGAAGCUUGCUUCUCUGAUGUUAGCGGCGGACGGGUGAGUAACACGUGGAUAACCUACCUAUAAGACUGGGAUAACUUCGGGAAACCGUAGCUAAUACCGGAUAAUAUUUUGAACCGCAUGGUUGAAAAGUGAAAGACGGUCUUGCUGUCACUUAUAGAUGGAUCCGCGCUGCAUUAGCUAGUUGGUAAGGUAACGGCUUACCAAGGCAACGAUGCAUAGCCGACCUGAGAGGGUGAUCGGCCACACUGGAACUGAGACACGGUCCAGACUCCUACGGGAGGCAGCAGUAGGGAAUCUUCCGCAAUGGGCGAAAGCCAGACGGAGCAACGCCGCGUGAGUGAUGAAGGUCUUCGGAUCGUAAAACUCUGUUAUUAGGGAAGAACAUAUGUGUAAGUAACUGUGCACAUCUUGACGGUACCUAAUCAGAAAGCCACGGCUAACUACGUG